UAAGGGUAACAGGAUUGACGAUAGCAACAACACAGGAUUCAGCUGUUUACAAUGGCCCCUAUGCGGUAAAUACAUAUUUCCACAUCAAAUCUUUUAUUUAAACAGCUUUCAGUAAUUGCUACAAAGACAGGAAUCUGUCUCAGGCUACAUGGUGGCAUUCUUGUCCAGAGGUCAGCUCUUGACCUCCCCAUGACCCCUGGCUAACCACAGAG
This is a long non-coding RNA of Pangasianodon hypophthalmus (striped catfish), 212 nucleotides long. RefSeq lists it as uncharacterized. The transcript has 3 exons. The record is from RefSeq and is a predicted model, not a curated record. Lineage: Eukaryota; Metazoa; Chordata; Actinopteri; Siluriformes; Pangasiidae.